GGGGAAUUUUCCGCAAUGGGCGAAAGCCUGACGGAGCAAUACCGCGUGUGGGAGGAAGGCCCUUGGGUUGUAAACCACUUUUAUCAGGGAAGAAGCUCUGACGGUACCUGAUGAAUAAGCAUCGGCUAACUCCGUGCCAGCAGCCGCGGUAAUACGGAGGAUGCAAGCGUUAUCCGGAAUCAUUGGGCGUAAAGCGUCCGUAGGUGGUUUGUCAAGUCUGUCGUCAAAGAAUGGAGCUUAACUCCAUAAAGGCGGUGGAAACUGAGAGACUAGAGUUCGGUAGGGGUAGCGGGAAUUCCCAGUGUAGCGGUGAAAUGCGUAGAUAUUGGGAAGAAC
RNAcentral lists this ribosomal RNA (336 nucleotides) under uncultured cyanobacterium. RNAcentral's name for it is "bacterial SSU rRNA". It matches the Rfam family "Bacterial small subunit ribosomal RNA", at positions 356 to 707 of the family's 1533-position model. The record is from RNAcentral. Lineage: Bacteria; Bacillati; Cyanobacteriota.